GCGGGCACAUAGGACAAUGCUGGCUAAAGACAAGACAGUAAUUCCCCUAAAUUACUAAAGAAGGCAUCUACAGAAAUGCUGCCCUGUGCCCAGCUUAUUGGCAUCAUGGUAUUGCUCCCAGCCCCAGCCUGAACAGCGCACGUAAGCACACCAAAAGCAAAAGUGUCUGGUGGCCAGAAGAGGAAAGGAUUCUUUAUUAUUUGUAUAGCAGCAAGGAGGCCAGUUCAUGGGGUUUUCUUUUUACAGCAUCAUUUUGCACCGACAAUAGGAAUCCAGGCUGUAUUUCCCUGGGGAUGCUCUUCUGGAAGUGAGUGGUUCCAUGGCACGCCGAGGCUCGGGGCAGUGGGACCGUUCUCUCUAAAGCAGAUGAUGGCCACGGAGAGCUCAGACUUUCAGCCUUCGCUUUUUAAUUGCCCAGUUAGCAGAACGGGCAGCCUCCAGCCUCACCCCGUGUCACGUCCUGCCCUGGCCACCCAGCGCUGCUCUCACCUCGACACCACGUGUUUGCUGCCUUCGGGGGCUUUGACCUUCUUUGGUCAAAGAACGUCUUUGACCUUCUGGGGAAAAAGGUGAAGGAAGAGAGAGAAGACUUCAAUUUUUUGUCCUCAACGUCUGAAAAAAAAAAAAGCAUAUUUUUUUCCCAGAAAUUGUGUUUGUUCUUCUGAAUCCCAGUGGUGUUUGAAGAGACAUGGAGAGGAUCGGAUAGUUCAGGUGUGCAAGAAAGAGUUCAGGUGCCCAGCCCUGG
Molecule: long non-coding RNA, 745 nt
Filed under: Cairina moschata (Muscovy duck)
Lineage: Eukaryota; Metazoa; Chordata; Aves; Anseriformes; Anatidae
Description: domestica (muscovy Duck (domestic type)) lncRNA (ENSCMMG00000007175.1)
Source: RNAcentral